CCUACGGGAGGCAGCAGUGGGGAAUAUUGCACAAUGGGCGCAAGCCUGAUGCAGCCAUGCCGCGUGUAUGAAGAAGGCCUUCGGGUUGUAAAGUACUUUCAGUGGGGAGGAAGGCAGUGAGGUUAAUAACUUCGCUGAUUGACGUUACCCGCAGAAGAAGCACCGGCUAACUCCGUGCCAGCAGCCGCGGUAAU
RNAcentral lists this ribosomal RNA (194 nucleotides) under uncultured bacterium WkA14. RNAcentral describes it as "partial 16S ribosomal RNA". It matches the Rfam family "Bacterial small subunit ribosomal RNA", at positions 338 to 524 of the family's 1533-position model. The record is from RNAcentral.